GUCAGGUUGAAACAUUCUGUUCUUGAACAGAGGAAAAACACUCUUCACACAGUGCUUACGAGUUUCUGAAGUCUUUAUUGGUACUCUGCACACCUUCACACCUCCGUGAGAAGAAAACAGUAGAUUUAUAUUAGAAACUGUAUUGAAAAAUGUCUACUUCAAACACACUCAAAGGACUUUCCGGUUGUUUUAUUGCUAUGCCAGAAUACCUUCAUGUAACUGAAGUAACUUGGACUAAGCAAGAGAGAAAAACGUUAACAGGCCAGGCCUGGGUCCAACAGUGAAGAACGAGAAGAUUGUUCUUGAGGCCUAGUCAAUAUCAAUGUAAGCAUCACAAUGAAGGAAAACAUGACUACAUAAAAAAUUAACAACAAGGAGGCUGAUUUCCUUUUGAGAGGAAAAAAUUUUGAAAACCUGAAGAAUUGAGAGCAUAGAAAGAAACCCAUGUAAUCAUAUGAGGUAUCACUCUAUCGCCCAGGCUGGAAUACAGUGGUGUGAUCUCAGCUCACUGCAACCUCCACCUCCCUGGUUCAAGCUAUUAUCCUGC
This 547-nucleotide long non-coding RNA is filed under the name Homo sapiens (human). RNAcentral describes it as "HSALNT0029894". The record is from RNAcentral. Lineage: Eukaryota; Metazoa; Chordata; Mammalia; Primates; Hominidae.